UACGAAGGGGGCUAGCGUUGUUCGGAUUUACUGGGCGUAAAGCGCACGUAGGCGGUUUGUUAAGUCAGGGGUGAAAUCCCGGAGCUCAACUCCGGAACUGCAUUCGAUACUGCGUGGCUAGAGUGCUGGAGAGGAGACUGGAAUUUACGGUGUAGCAGUGAAAUGCGUAGAUAUCGUAAGGAAGACCAGUGGCGAAGGCGAGUCUCUGGACAGCAACUGACGCUGAGGCACGAAGGCCAGGGGAGCAAACGGG
This 253-nucleotide ribosomal RNA is filed under the name uncultured bacterium. RNAcentral's name for it is "partial 16S ribosomal RNA". It matches the Rfam family "Bacterial small subunit ribosomal RNA", at positions 524 to 776 of the family's 1533-position model. The record is from RNAcentral.